Orbicella faveolata is the source of this 1185-nucleotide long non-coding RNA. Lineage: Eukaryota; Metazoa; Cnidaria; Anthozoa; Scleractinia; Merulinidae. The record is from RefSeq and is a predicted model, not a curated record.
CCGUUAAUGACCCCAUCCCCGAGCUAAUUACUUAGAUCGAUUAAUUAAGCAGCUUGCUAAAAGGCUAUUAAUUUAGCAGCUAUUUUGCAGCGCCAACGGACCAACAAGAGUUUGUACGUUUGUAAAAACUUAAAAGGUGCGAAUUUUGACCGGAAAUGUUUAGCACCUAAUCAACACAUUUUUUUUUACACAUUUCAGGGAGUAAACCCAUAUUAAUUAGCCAGUCGUCAACUGUAUUAUUAUUUAAAGGUUCAGGGCAAAUACACUACCGCGCUCAGAUAGUGAAGGCACAACUUUCCUUGUAGAAUUAUCCUUCACCACACGAGGUAGGUCUGAUUACAGACGCUGUAUUUAAGUUCCGUUGUUUAGCCCUCAAGUGCACACAUUAUGAAUUUGUCAAUAUCGUGCUACGCUGUUUUAACCGGGGUCUGGCGUGAUUUUUCGUCUCUAAAAUUAAAAUAGCUUACUGAUUCAAUAGCAAUUCCAUCGAUCGAUAUACACUGUGUCUGGCUGUUUGAGCAACACGAUAAGGUUUCAAAGUUUGAGAGUUCGUCACAAAAGACCAAUUUCAAGGUCUUUUGUGAAGUUAUUUGAAGCAAAUUGUGUCGUCAACAGGACUGAGUCGUAUUGAUUAAUAUACAGCUGUUAUUGCAAAGUGGUCACAAUAGUAUCUCAAGAGGCAAAAAAGAAUGUUUCAGAAGCUAUUUUUCAUUCACUUGGGGACCAACAACCAGGCUAUAUGAAGGAAAAUGCAAAAAUUAAUAAUUCAGUUAUUUUAAUUUGCGUGACACAAGUACUUUGGUCACUCAGGCACAUAUUUGUUAAUGACAUGCACCACGCUAGAUUUGCAUAACAUCCUCGUUUGUAAACCGAUGGCUUUCAGGCGCCGAGCUCGAUCGAGCUACGUUCGCAGACGUACAAAACGAGAAAGUGCCGAGUCACAAUGAUACCACAAUUUCUUUCCGGGUCGAGGUUCAUUCAAAGAUAUUCGAUAAGUUACUUCCUUUUCUCGCCACGCAGACAGAUUUUCAAAACGCCGGCAGGCAUCCAGUGAUCAACUUAGUAAGCUAUGGCAACCUUCAAAGGCUAAGCUGGCGGAUGUACAUUUGUGUUGUGAAGAACCCGUAAAACAACAGUACAACAGUUGGUGAACUAUUUCGCGUUAAUUCAGCAAUAUUGGGUAAG